Molecule: ribosomal RNA, 440 nt
Filed under: uncultured Anaerolineaceae bacterium
Lineage: Bacteria; Bacillati; Chloroflexota; Anaerolineae; Anaerolineales; Anaerolineaceae
Description: bacterial SSU rRNA
Rfam family: Bacterial small subunit ribosomal RNA
Source: RNAcentral
ACAAGCGGUGGAUGAUGUGGAUUAAUUCGAUGCAACGCGAAAACCUUACCUACCCUUGACAUGUCCGGAAUCCUGCAGAGAUGCGGAGUGCCGAAAGGAAUCGGAACACAGGUGUUGCAUGGCUGUCGUCAGCUCGUGCCGUGAGGUGUUAGGUUAAGUCCUGUAACGAGCGCAACCCUGCCGUUAGUUACAUGUGUCUAACGGGACUGCCCGGCUCAACUGGGAGGAAGGUGGGACGACGUCAAGUCAGCAUGGCCUUUAUAUCCUGGGCUACACACACGCUACAAUGGUCGGUACAAUGGGUCGCCAAGCCGCGAGGCGGAGCCAAUCCUCCAAAACCGGCCUCAGUUCAGAUUGUAGGCUGCAACUCGCCUGCAUGAAGUUGGAGUUGCUAGUAGCCGCGCGUCAGCUAUAGUGCGGUGAAUACGUUCCCGGGGCUU